Taeniopygia guttata (zebra finch) is the source of this 1409-nucleotide long non-coding RNA. Lineage: Eukaryota; Metazoa; Chordata; Aves; Passeriformes; Estrildidae. The record is from Ensembl.
UUUUUCUGGCAGCAUCAUUGAAGGACUUUGACCUCCUCAGAUUUUCUUACAUUAACAGAAUCUCAGCUCUGGCCCAGAUCUCCUCAUCACAGGCACUUGGAUCUGUUGGAUUUUGUCAGCUCCCUGCCUGGGUCUGGCCAAGCAGUGCCCCCCCUUCUCGCAGGAAGAGCAGGGUGUUGUUCUCCAGAGGGAUGCUGGCCUCUCCUUCCCUUUUCCACACAAGGAACCCCUCCUGACCCCCCUGCACAGCCCCUCUCCCACAGAGCCAGCAGCCAGGUGCUGCCAAGGCUCCUUCAAACACAAAUUGCUCCCCUCAAUAACAUUUCCAAUGCAAAUACCAGUUGUGUUUGCAGGCACACAGGCCCAGGGGGAAGUGCAGGGGAGAAUUUAUCCUCCAUCUCCAAAAAAGCUGUGCAAAGCCCAUGUUGCAGGUUUUGUCCUUUUCUCUCCCGUGUUUGUGUUUGUUGUAGGGUACAAGGGACACUGGAUCCCAUCUCUCCAGACAGGUUUCCCACCUCAUGCAUACAAAAGCCUCUGCAAGCAGAACUCACUGAACACACACAAAAUAUUUCUCCCCAAGUUGCCUAACAAACCCCUAAAGGCAGAACCUGCAGCCAAGGUGCAGAGGAGAGAUAGUAAAUCAGGCACUACAGUGCUUUCAACUCCAAUUUCCUUGUCCUACCUCCUGAUAAGAUGUUGCUGAGACCUCUUCCGUUUCUCAGUUCCACUCUAGCAUGUGGAUUUGGCACUCGUGAACUUUUUAAUUUCAUAAACCACCAGUGCUUUGCCUUCCUUUUUGCACCCCUGUGCCUUCUUGGAGCUCUCUAAGCCAGGUGCAGCCACCUGAUAAUUCCCUGUAAUGCAAUCACAGGGCCUCAGUGCCAGGACUGAGCUGAGCUGCAGCCUCCACUCAAGGACACCAGUGCUGAUAAAAGAGGGGACUCAAAGAGAUGAGGAACUUGAACCACAUCACAUAAACCCCCUGAUUUUGCUGCUCCUCACAUUGAAAUCCUCCUGGUUAACAAAAUCCUGCUUGCCUUCAUUUCCCAGGCUCCACACAUCUCAUCUCCAAGUGUACUGAUAUAAAAAUAACAGCCUUUGGCUCGCUGGUGAGUGUUUUGUGUCCUCAGUGCCCCUGAGGAAAGGGCACACACUGCUGGUGCCUUCCUUGAGGAAAAUCCCACCCCUCUUUUUGCACUCCAGCCAUCAGGACCAGCAUGAGGCAGUUGUGCUCAUCCAGUUAAAGGGGGAAAAGCAGGGAAGUUAAGAGAGGUUAAACAGACUUAGGAACACUCUCAGCCUUUUGUGCACGACCCUGUGCUUAGGGGCAGCCCACAUCAGAUUAAAUCCUCUUUAAGAGCUGCUCUGGCUUUGCCCCUGGACCUUUCUGUUUGUUCCCUUGGAGACAA